RNAcentral lists this long non-coding RNA (282 nucleotides) under Physcomitrium patens. Its description in RNAcentral is "long non-coding RNA (PPAT_LNC011687)". The record is from RNAcentral. Lineage: Eukaryota; Viridiplantae; Streptophyta; Bryopsida; Funariales; Funariaceae.
UGAAGAAUUGCAUUGAUUUUUUUACUAUUAUAAUUUCUAAUCUUUGUAUAAUAAGAGCCAUAAUCUAAAAUUUUGGUUUCCAUCCUUAUAGCCUUAAUACAAGGUUGCUCUAAAAUCACUGAGUAAAUAGUAGAGUUUUGCACAAAGAAAUUUUUCUCUACCUCCGCAUCUCUAAUCCUUGUUCUAACUUCCAAACAUGCCCCAUACAAAUCACCUUGCUUAUUGUUAGUGGCCUUCAAUAUCCAUCCAUAUUUAACAUCAAUGAACUACUUGUCCACCUCA